CCCAGCCUUUCUUCCACCUCCGUUAUUCCUUAGUAGAGUCCGUCUCUGCUCGUUCUCUUCGAGCUUGGCUCCUGCGCGCGCUCCUCCUCUGCCUCCAUGGCCGCGCCCUGCCUGGCGUUUCAAGCGCCAGCCUCCGCGCCCUCCCCUGCAAGUAGCCGAGCGUCCUUCUGGCCAAAGCUCUCUCUUACCUCCUCCUGGUCCCUUCUCUGCGCGCGCUCAGCUCCAGCUUGGCCACCAUCUCCCAUGGCCGCCGCGCUCCCUGCUCGGCCUGCGUGCCCCAGCGCUCGCCUAUGGUGGCGCGUCCCUCUCCCUGGCAUUUUCCCAAGCCGCGAUUUUCCCUGCUUCUCUCCCAUGGCCGCCGUCGAGCUCC
This 370-nucleotide unclassified non-coding RNA is filed under the name Zea mays. RNAcentral describes it as "misc RNA Zm00001eb181870". The record is from RNAcentral. Lineage: Eukaryota; Viridiplantae; Streptophyta; Magnoliopsida; Poales; Poaceae.